Pipra filicauda (Wire-tailed manakin) is the source of this 603-nucleotide long non-coding RNA. RefSeq lists it as uncharacterized. NCBI's taxonomy places the organism in Eukaryota, Metazoa, Chordata, Aves, Passeriformes, Pipridae. The transcript has 2 exons. The record is from RefSeq and is a predicted model, not a curated record.
GUCCUUCCAAACCUCUUCCACAUUUCCAGUGGGGUGUGGGGUGACAGUGGGGUUGGAGCAGCUCCCCAGGGAGGUCAGUGGAGGAUUUCCCAGCAGGACAACUUGGCUGGGGUGCAGAAGGUGAAGGAAAGUCCUGACGAACAUCCAGAGCAGACCUGCUGGCUUUUCUUGCAUGGGGAAAGUUUCUUAUUCACCUCUUCCUAUCAAAGGCACCCCCUGAGAGGAAUGAGGGAGUUUAGAAAUAAAGACUCCUGGAGCAAAAAAUGGAUGUUUGGUGCAGGCAGAAGCUUCCCCUGUUUGUCUCUGUGCUUAUGCACUGCAAAACCUUUGCAGCCUCUCCCCUGCAAUGGAAAUAACAUCCAGGAUGGAUCACUUCUGUUUGUCAGGGAAAGGGAAUGAUGAAGCCCCAGUGGUACAUUUGCCUUGCUCCUGCUUUGGAAACAAACUUCCCAUCCACUCCCAAUCAACUGCAAUGAUCCAAGCAGACAAAGCUGGUCCCUCAUUAAAUCAACCUUCAAAUUUGCCUGGGGCUUGUUCUAAUUGAUUCAGAGCAGAGCUUCAGUUCUCCAGAAGUGAAGAAUGAAAUAAAUGAACCAAGUUUCA